AUUGAACGCUGGCGGCAGGCCUAACACAUGCAAGUCGAACGGUAACAGAAAGCAGCUUGCUGCUUUGCUGACGAGUGGCGGACGGGUGAGUAAUGUCUGGGAAACUGCCCGAUGGAGGGGGAUAACUACUGGAAACGGUAGCUAAUACCGCAUAACGUCGCAAGACCAAAGAGGGGGACCUUCGGGCCUCUUGCCAUCGGAUGUGCCCAGAUGGGAUUAGCUAGUAGGUGAGGUAAUGGCUCACCUAGGCGACGAUCCCUAGCUGGUCUGAGAGGAUGACCAGCCACACUGGAACUGAGACACGGUCCAGACUCCUACGGGAGGCAGCAGUGGGGAAUAUUGCACAAUGGGCGCAAGCCUGAUGCAGCCAUGCCGCGUGUAUGAAGAAGGCCUUCGGGUUGUAAAGUACUUUCAGCGAGGAGGAAGGGGUUGAGUUUAAUACGCUCAAUCAUUGACGUUACUCGCAGAAGAAGCACCGGCUAACUCCGUGCCAGCAGCCGCGGUAAUACGGAGGGUGCAAGCGUUGAUCGGAAUUACUGGGCGUAAAGCGCACGCAGGCGGUUUGUUAAGUCAGAUGUGAAAUCCCCGGGCUCAACCUGGGAACUGCAUUUGAAACUGGCAAGCUUGAGUCUCGUAGAGGGGGGUAGAAUUCCAGGUGUAGCGGUGAAAUGCGUAGAGAUCUGGAGGAAUACCGGUGGCGAAGGCGGCCCCCUGGACGAAGACUGACGCUCAGGUGCGAAAGCGUGGGGAGCAAACAGGAUUAGAUACCCUGGUAGUCCACGCUGUAAACGAUGUCUAUUUGGAGGUUGUGCCCUUGAGGCGUGGCUUCCGGAGCUAACGCGUUAAAUAGACCGCCUGGGGAGUACGGCCGCAAGGUUAAAACUCAAAUGAAUUGACGGGGGCCCGCACAAGCGGUGGAGCAUGUGGUUUAAUUCGAUGCAACGCGAAGAACCUUACCUACUCUUGACAUCCACGGAAUUUAGCAGAGAUGCUUUAGUGCCUUCGGGAACCGUGAGACAGGUGCUGCAUGGCUGUCGUCAGCUCGUGUUGUGAAAUGUUGGGUUAAGUCCCGCAACGAGCGCAACCCUUAUCCUUUGUUGCCAGCGAUUCGGUCGGGAACUCAAAGGAGACUGCCAGUGAUAAACUGGAGGAAGGUGGGGAUGACGUCAAGUCAUCAUGGCCCUUACGAGUAGGGCUACACACGUGCUACAAUGGCAUAUACAAAGAGAAGCGACCUCGCGAGAGCAAGCGGACCUCAUAAAGUAUGUCGUAGUCCGGAUUGGAGUCUGCAACUCGACUCCAUGAAGUCGGAAUCGCUAGUAAUCGUAGAUCAGAAUGCUACGGUGAAUACGUUCCCGGGCCUUGCACUCACCGC
RNAcentral lists this ribosomal RNA (1375 nucleotides) under uncultured bacterium. Its description in RNAcentral is "bacterial SSU rRNA". It matches the Rfam family "Bacterial small subunit ribosomal RNA", at positions 28 to 1393 of the family's 1533-position model. The record is from RNAcentral.